UGGCUGCCUUCCCUCCACCUGUGCACAAGGCCACACUCCACUCUGUGAGUUCUGUACAGUGAAGGCCUCCCUCAAGAGGGGAGUGUUCCACUGGUGGCUGCCUUCCCUCCACCUGUGCACAAGGUCACACUCCACCCUGUGAGUUCUGUACAGUGAGGGCCUCCCUAGAGAGGGAGUGUUCCACUGCUGGCUGCCUUCCCUCCACCUGUGCACAAGGCC
This 219-nucleotide long non-coding RNA is filed under the name Marmota monax (woodchuck). The record is from RNAcentral. Lineage: Eukaryota; Metazoa; Chordata; Mammalia; Rodentia; Sciuridae.